GACGAACGCUGGCGGCGUGCUUAACACAUGCAAGUCGAACGGAAAGGCCCUGCGUUUGUGGGGUGCUCGAGUGGCGAACGGGGGAGUAACACGUGAGUAACCUGCCCUUGACUUUGGGAGAACUUCAGGAAACUGGGGCUCAUACCGGAUAGGAGCUACUGCUGCAUGGUGGGGGUUGGAAAGUGUCGGCGGUUGGGGCUGGACUCGCGGCUUAUCAGCUGGUUGGUGGGGUAGUGGCUUACCAAGGCUUUGACGGGUAGCCGGCCUGAGAGGGUGACCGGCCACAUUGGGACUGAGAUACGGCGCAGACUCCUACGGGCGGCAGCAGUGGGGAAUAUUGCGCAAUGGGCGGAAGCCUGAUGCAGCAACGCUGCGUGCGGGAUGACGGCCUUCGGGUUGUAAACCGCUUUCGCCGGUGCCGAAGCGUGAGUGACGGUAAUGGGUAAAGAAGCACCGGCUAACUACGUG
This 468-nucleotide ribosomal RNA is filed under the name uncultured bacterium. RNAcentral describes it as "partial 16S ribosomal RNA". It matches the Rfam family "Bacterial small subunit ribosomal RNA", at positions 28 to 507 of the family's 1533-position model. The record is from RNAcentral.